GAAGUGGGGAUGACGUCAAGUCCUCAUGGCCUUUAUGCCCAGGGCUACACACGUGCUACAAUGGGCGGUACAAAGAGAAGCAACCUCGCGAGGGUGAGCAAAUCUCAAAAAGCCGUUCUCAGUUCGGAUUGAAGUCUGCAACUCGACUUCAUGAAGUCGGAAUCGCUAGUAAUCGCGGAUCAGCAUGCCGCGGUGAAUACGUUCCCGGGCCUU
Molecule: ribosomal RNA, 213 nt
Filed under: uncultured Syntrophaceae bacterium
Lineage: Bacteria; Pseudomonadati; Thermodesulfobacteriota; Syntrophia; Syntrophales; Syntrophaceae
Description: partial 16S ribosomal RNA
Rfam family: Bacterial small subunit ribosomal RNA
Source: RNAcentral